Molecule: transfer RNA, 76 nt
Filed under: Thermoanaerobacterales bacterium
Lineage: Bacteria; Bacillati; Bacillota; Clostridia; Thermoanaerobacterales
Also listed under: 1 other name
Description: tRNA-Thr
Rfam family: tRNA
About the family: Transfer RNA (tRNA) molecules are approximately 80 nucleotides in length.
Source: RNAcentral
GCCCACGUAGCUCAGUAGGCAGAGCGUCGCCUUGGUAAGGCGGAGGUCACCGGUUCAAGCCCGGUCGUGGGCUCCA